GUGUCAGCCGCCGCGGUAAUACGGAGGAUCCGAGCGUUAUCCGGAUUUAUUGGGUUUAAAGGGUGCGUAGGCGGAUUGUUAAGUCAGCGGUGAAAUUUUGCAGCUUAACUGUAAAAUUGCCGUUGAAACUGAUGAUCUUGAGGAUAGUUGAGGUAAGUGGAAUGUGUUGUGUAGCGGUGAAAUGCAUAGAUAUAACACAGAACACCGAUUGCGAAGGCAGCUUACUAGACUAUAACUGACGCUGAGGUACGAAAGCGUGGGGAUCAAACAGGAUUAGAUACCCUGGUAGUCCACGCUGUAAACGAUGAAUACUAGCUGUAUGCGAUAUACAGUAUGCGGCGGAGCGAAAGCAUUAAGUAUUCCACCUGGGGAGUACGUUCGCAAGAAUGAAACUCAAAUAAAUUGACGG
RNAcentral lists this ribosomal RNA (409 nucleotides) under uncultured bacterium. RNAcentral describes it as "bacterial SSU rRNA". It matches the Rfam family "Bacterial small subunit ribosomal RNA", at positions 505 to 916 of the family's 1533-position model. The record is from RNAcentral.